RNA transcript from Triticum aestivum (bread wheat), 5260 nucleotides. It is a transcript of the gene named cyclin-dependent kinase G-2, with no coding region annotated. Lineage: Eukaryota; Viridiplantae; Streptophyta; Magnoliopsida; Poales; Poaceae. The transcript has 10 exons. The record is from RefSeq and is a predicted model, not a curated record.
GGCGCCUACCCGCUCGCUUCCGUCCCCGACUCCCCCUCCCUCCCCAUCCUAUUCGCUCCGCCGCACCACCCACCCCAUCGCCCGCCUCGCGGAAUCCUCUCGUCUCCCGCCGCCGCCGCCACCGCCACCGCCACCGCCACCCCGGCCGGAGGCCACGCGCCCCACGCGGCCGCUCGAACCCGAGGUCAGAUCCAAACCCCAGCCCCGGGACCGAAUCGCGCCGCAGUUUUUCUAGGUUUUGGUACGGAUCUAGGGUUGGCCGCGGAAUUCCGGGGGCGGGGGCUAUUCGCUCGGAUUCCUCCGCGGCUCGGAUUUCGCGCUCAUGGCCGCCGGGCGCCACGGAGGGUACCGGGACUACGAGGCCAGGGAGCGGGAGCCCGACGCCGAGGCCGCCAGGAGGAGCCAGAGCCUCGGCGGCCGCCACCGGAGCGACGCCGACCGCCGCCGCGACGGCGUGCGCAGCAGCGGUGGCAGGGAAUUCUCAAACGGCUAUGGCCACCGCCGCUCGCACCCGCCCAAAAGCCGCCUCUCCACCAGGCUUGGGGACCGGGAGCCCGGCGAGGUGCUCAGCGGGAGCGCGUCAGACGACUCUGGUGGGAGGUCAGGCAGAGCGGCAGGGGAGAAUACCAUGUCCAGUUCUAGCAGGGAGGGUGAGGUGGCCGUGGGGGCGCCUGCUGCCCCUUCGCCCAGCAAAAAGAGGAAAUUUUCGCCGAUAAUUUGGGACAGGGAUAGCCCAAAGCCGCCGUCGUUACAUUCUGGUACAGUGACUCUGAAGGGAGUGGUGGAUUCCGCUUCUGCUGAUACAGCAAGUGACAAGAAAGUGGUGGAGUCCUCCUCUGCUCAACUCCCUCCCCCUCCCCCGCUGCCACCACAGGGGCACAUCCCAGAGAGGUUGGUCGUGGACAAUUCACCAAUGGAUGUGGACCUUGCCGUUGACACUGACAACACUGAGCAGUUGCACGUGCUGCAGGAUAGUAAAGUGCUUGAGGUAGAGGAGAGUAAAGUGAAGGAGGAAGAGGAGAGUAAAGUAAAGGAGGAAGAGGAGUACCCAACAAUGCGGAACAUAUCAACUUCAAGGUGGGCAGGUGCUAACGAUGACGACGAGGAGGGUGUAACACUGAGGAAGAAGAAAGUCUUAUCUCCUGCAGAUUCCGCUGAGCUGGGGCAGGGUAAGAAGACUCCUACACCAGAACUUGGGGAGGUUGUGACCAGUGAUAUGUCUGGACGGAGGACCAUGUCAAGGUCAUCUGAUUCAGGGAGAAUGGGUAACGAUGAGAAGGAAGAUUUGGAAUUAGGUAAAGGUGACUACAUGGAUGUUGAUAGAGGGGAGGCUAGUGUUAAUGGUUCAGCUAAUCUUCUAUCUUCUGAUUCGGAGGAUGAAGUGCGCAGGUCUGAAACCCCUGAGCCAGUGAAGCCGGCUCAUCGAUGUAUCAAUAUGCUGCAAGGUUGCAGAAGUGUUGAUGUGUUUGAGAGGCUCAACAAGAUUAAUGAAGGCACCUAUGGUGUUGUAUAUCGAGCAAAGGAUAAGAAGACUGCUGAGAUUGUUGCAUUGAAGAAGGUCAAGAUGGAAAAGGAGAGAGAAGGUUUCCCGUUGACCUCUCUUAGGGAAAUCAACAUCCUUUUAUCUUUCCAUCACCCUUCAAUUGUUGACGUUAAGGAAGUAGUAGUUGGCAGUAGUCUUGAUAGUAUUUUUAUGGUGAUGGAGUACAUGGAGCAUGAUCUUAAGGGUGUCAUGGAGACAAUGAAGCAGCCAUAUACCCAAAGUGAGGUCAAAUGCUUAAUGCUUCAGCUAUUAGAGGGUGUAAAAUAUCUUCAUGACAAUUGGGUACUUCAUAGGGAUUUGAAGACUUCAAAUCUAUUGCUGAAUAACCGUGGUGAGUUGAAAAUAUGUGAUUUUGGACUGUCUCGUCAAUAUGGGAGCCCACUAAAACCUUAUACUCAAUUGGUUGUGACUUUGUGGUACAGGUCACCUGAACUAUUGCUAGGAACAAAGGAAUACUCUACUGCUAUUGACAUGUGGUCCGUGGGCUGCAUUAUGGCAGAGCUUCUCGCCAAAGAACCACUGUUCAAUGGGAAAACAGAGUUUGAACAGCUAGACAAGAUAUUUAGAACACUUGGCACACCUAAUGAGAAGAUAUGGCCUGGUUAUGCCAAGUUACCUGGUGUCAAAGUCAACUUUGUUAAACAACCGUACAACAGAUUAAGGGAUAAGUUCCCAGCUGCGUCUUUUUCUGGGCGUCCAAACCUAUCUGAAGCUGGUUUUGAUCUGUUGAAUAAGCUCUUAACUUAUGAUCCUGCGAAGCGUAUAUCAGCUGAGGCUGCAUUGGAGCAUCCAUGGUUCAGUGAAGUACCUCUACCUAAGUCGAAGGACUUCAUGCCAACAUUUCCAGCUCUAAACGAACUGGACAGGCGUACCAGACGGUAUAUGAAGAGUCCUGAUCCUCUAGAGGAGCAACGGUUGAAAGAACUGCAAGCAAAAGGCAACCGUGGCCUUUUCGGCUGAGCUCAAACCGCUUGCUUGGGUUUUGUUCGUACUGACUGCUAUACUUCAACCUGAAUCAGUGAGGUCAGAUGGCUUCUGAGCAGGCUUUGUGCUUAGUGACUUGUGGCCCAUCAUAGAAUUCUGUUCACAGGAUUAGCACUCCGACCAGAUUGAUCAUGAAAGCAGAUCUAACCUGCCUCCAUCGUAAGAAAUGAAAGUGGCGAAGGGGAAGGAUGCCUUUAGCUUUUCUUCAGGAAAUCAUGGACAGUAAUACAACUUGAAAGCUUAAGCUGUGGCUGCUUCAAGAGGAAGCUUGAUGGCCGCCAGCUUGUUGUACCUAAGUGACUAAAUUUUGUGGGAGGUCUUGAAGUGUAUUCAUCUGUUACUUGAGUGAGCCAUAGUGGUCACUGGUCAGUUUACUAUCCUUCCUUGUUUAUUAAUGCACCAUAUUCAUCCAACUGUUUUUUGGGGAUGGUCAUCUGUUAUUUGUUUGCAUGGAGUAUGGUUUUUGUUGAACUUUCAUUUCGUCCUCUCCCAUAUGGCCGACACUUUGUUUUCUAUUUGAAAUAUCUCCUUGACUGAUGUAAAUGCCACAACAUUGGCAUUGUUUACUCACCUCCACGAAAUUGAGGCUAUUUAGAUUAGUGAGGGAGGUCAAAAUUAGGAUGAAAUACUAGUGUUGCGUGCUCUCUGUUCCCCACUUUGGUUAUGGUAGCCUGGUUGUUUUGAUGGGCCACAUUUGGAACAAACGUUUGGCAUGCUCUUUGGGGAUGCUUAACUGCUUAUGGUUCUCGAUGUUCUUGUAGUAGUGUUUUCUUGUCAUGGGUUUACAUGAGCUGCCCUUGCCACUACAAAUGUUCAAUUGCUACUUGCCACUUCAUUCUGUAUGACGUUGGUGAUUCGGAGUUUUGCGUUGUCGAAUGUGAUGAUCAAUUUCUUGCCCAUUUGUUUGCCUCUUAUUUUAGUUUCAGUUCUUGCGGAAGAUAUAUCAGCCCAUCAGCAGGCUUGAGUAUGUUUUUGCGAUAUAAACAUCUGCGUAGUUGCAGUGGUGUCGGCGCGCAGAAUAGAAAGAUUGCAGUGGUAACUACGGUCUAUUCCCUCUGUUCGCAAAUAUAAGAUGUUUUACAUAUUUCAAUAUGGACUGAAAUGAAUGAACAAAGACACUAAAAUGUGUCUAUAUACUUGAAUCAGAAAAUGGUUAGAACAUCUCAGGACCGGAAUUGAAUUACUGACAGAGGGAGUACAUUAUAACCUAUGUUGGUAACUGAGAACUCGUAGAGUGGGGUUUUUGUUGGUGGCUACACAUUGAAACUUUUUAUUUGUUUGAGUUGACAAAGUUUUGUAGCACUGUUUUUUUGUUGCCUGGACCUCACGAAUGCCAUUACAUCACGACUAGGACAAGUAAUAUGGAUCGGAGGGAGUAGUAGAAAACAAAGCAACAUUUGUUGGCAAUGUUUUAGGAAGUUUUUUUUUUGGAUUUCACUGCUUAUCCAAUGUGCAUGUGUUCCCGGGAUCAGAGUUGCACUUCUGAGGCUCGUCACUUUAUGGAAGAGCAGGAUGCUUCUUCUAGCAUUUACACCCGACCUCAUGCUCCUGGUGAACAGUAAAAUCAUGAAAAAUAGAAAAAAAAAAGAAAAAAACUUAUGUUUUUUUUGUGUUAACCUUGGACAAAAUGUUCUACUCCCUCUUCCCUGUAAUAUAAGAACGAGAAAAGGUUCUUAUAUUAUGGGACGGAGGGAGUAUUGCUUGCAAAAAUUUAUCAGGAACGAGCAUUCCUGGAAGUUGUGGCAAAAAGAACAAAAUCGACAUUCCAAAACUGCUAUUUUUGAAAUUAUUUUGGAGUAUUGAUUUUUUUUUUGCCAUGACUUCCAUUUUGUGAUGAAAAUUUGCAAGGGUAGAAAUAUUUUGUCAAAGGUUACCAAAAAAAUUCAGCACUUAAAAAAAUCAUUUUCUUUUGGUUUUACUGUUUGGCUCAUUUGAGCUUGCGAGCAGAAGAAUGCUUUCGGCUUCUUUACUUUUACUAGUCCGUGAUAUAAGGGCCUCUUUGAUUCGCAGGAUUUUAAAAAUGUAGGAAUAAAAAAAGUAUAGGAUUGGGGUGGCAUGCCAAAUUAAAUCCUAUAAGAUUAGCAAGGAGUGUUUGAUGCCAUAUGGAAAACAAAAGGAAUUAUAAAAAAAGAUUGGAGUGGAUGUUAGAAUUUUCAUGAAAUGUAGUAUAAAAGAUCCAAUAGGAAAAAUUUCUAUGGUAUCUAAUCCUAUGAAUCAAAGGACCAACAUAGGAAAAAUUUCUAAGGAUUUCAAUCGUUCAGAAAUCCUAUAGAAUUCCUUUGAAUCAAAGGAGCCCUAAAUAGUUCUCUUGUAUAACAAGCAGCCUGAUAUCGGUCUCCUCGCUGGACGUGAACUGCCAUAGUGCCAUUCCGUGUCUUUGUUGCACUCCCCGCUGAACCAUGGGUUCGAGUCUUCUGGAUUGCCAUAGUUGAGUAAUCUUGUUGCUCACCACCCAUUGGCGUGGGCUUGUGUAGACUCCAUUAUUUGCAGGUCGACGGGGAUAUGACCAAGCAAGGAGCACGGGAUGACUCAAGCAAUACUACUCCGCUGCAGCGCACACUCGAUGUGAUAUUAUUAAUGUACAAAUGUAAAUAGCUCGUUAAUUAGUUAAGAUAAUCAAAUACUUCCAUGGGUGCAUAUAUAUGUUACUGAAAGAACGUUUCACGGUGAGACAGUAAAAUGUGGUCGUUGGGCGGUGCACGCUCCCCAGAACCACAGUGUUUCUCGCCGACA